RNAcentral lists this ribosomal RNA (453 nucleotides) under uncultured bacterium. RNAcentral's name for it is "bacterial SSU rRNA". It matches the Rfam family "Bacterial small subunit ribosomal RNA", at positions 339 to 792 of the family's 1533-position model. The record is from RNAcentral.
UUACGGAAGGCGGCGGUGAGGAAUAUUGCUCAAUGGGCGAAAGCCUGAAGCAGCGACGCCGCGUGAGGGAUGAAAUCCGUUAGGAUGUAAACCUCUUUUGCGAGGGAAGAAUAUCCGCUUUUAGCGGAGGUGACUGUACCUCGUGAAUAAGCACCGGCCAACUACGUGCCAGCAGCCGCGGUAAUACGUAGGGUGCAAGCGUUGUCCGGAAUUACUGGGUGUAAAGGGUCCGCAGGCGGGCAAGCAAGUCGGUGGUGAAAGUUCACGGCUCAACCGUGAAAUUGCCUUCGAUACUGCUUGUCUUGAGUUCGAGAGAGGAUAAUGGAAUUCAUGGUGUAGCGGUGAAAUGUGUAGAGAUCAUGAAGAACACCGGUAGCGAAGGCGGUUAUCUGGCUCGAAACUGACGCUCAGGGACGAAAGCGUGGGUAGCAAACAGGAUUAGAUACCCGGGUA